ACUAAAAACAUUAAAAUAGUAAAAAAAUUAUGCGAGGCUUAGUUUAGAGUCUAUUUCAAGAAUUAAUAUUAUGUUGUUGAGAAACAGAAGCAAGGAAAAUUUUAUUUAAAUAUUGAAAAAACAAUUCCUACACUUCUUUUUCACUAAAUCUGAAGCGAGGAAUUUAUUGAGUGAAUGUGACGUCACACACGGAAAAUACCAUUAAUAAGAAUUUCAACUCAAAUCUCUAGAGUUGGAGUGACAACCUAGACCCGUUUAGGAUGCGUUGGACGUGAAAGUAGGCUACUGAAGAACAAUGUACGAGUACACCAUCCUGGGUACAAAAUUUUUAUGCCAUGCCUAUCAUCAGACCCAAAACGCACAGAAUGUGAUAGGUUGCGAGAAGUAAGUGCAUAACGAAGUCCGAACCGUAAAUGGAGGGAGGAGGCUCUUGGUUUAACAACCUUGCUGCCGGUAAAUCGCUUUAGUCCGAUCCCAGACCCUUUCGAGUAUAGUAACAAUCCUUAUGUGAAAGUCUGUUUUUAAAGAAAAUUAUACAUGUAAACAAUUGUAACAACAUGUCAAAAAUAAACUAUUUAACCAGAAAGCAAAAAAGUAUUUUUUCAACAAAAUUACACUCUUUAUGAACAAUUUUUAUUUGAACCCAAACUGAGACCUAUCUCAAAAUAAGUUAUAGAAAUGUGAAAGCUUAUGUUAAAAGCCUUAAUUUAUAUUUAUAUAUCAAUUUAGUUACAGUUUUAAUCAGUGACAACAUUUGAUUUCUUAAAUUUAUUAUUUAAUACAAAUUGUAUUAAAUGA
This is a long non-coding RNA of Belonocnema kinseyi, 798 nucleotides long. RefSeq lists it as uncharacterized. NCBI's taxonomy places the organism in Eukaryota, Metazoa, Arthropoda, Insecta, Hymenoptera, Cynipidae. The record is from RefSeq and is a predicted model, not a curated record. The transcript is spliced from 2 exons.